CCCUCAGCUGGUUGAAUGUCAUCCAUGUGGCGAAAGGAGAGAGACCACAUCUUUUCUAUAUUAAAUUUGCAAUAAAAUAAUUGUGUGCAUCCAUAUUCGCUUAGAUAUCACUUGGAUUAAACUUAAUUUUUGUUAUAUUUACAAAAUCGAAGAAGUGUGUCAAACUUACAAAUUCCUAAACUAACCUACCAACAACAACCAAAAAUUAGUCAAAUCGCCACCACUCCAACAUCUUUGCUGGAUAUUUCAUAUUCUUCUCCCUUGCUACUACAAAUACUACUAUUUUAGGUUUGCUUACCUUUAUUCAACAUAAUUUAAUAGUAGUGUAGAAUAUAAAUUAAUAGUUGAUAGUAAUAGUAAUGAUACUAAUGAUAACUUUUUUGGGGUGCAUGCGAAUAUGUGCUCUGUGAAUGAUCACGAGCGUAGCUUAAAGAACUAUAGCAUCUGCUCUCUUCUCUCAUCCUCACAUUUAUUUUAUUAAUAAAAAAAAAAGUAAAAUUUGAGAGAAAUUAUUGCAAUAAUAGAAUGAAUAGACUUCACAAUAAUUGAAAAAUAGUCAUUAUAUAAUAAUCAUUAGUAAUUAAUCUAAAAUCCAACCGACACUUUCCAAUUCUUGUCCCUCCCUAUUUUCAAAAUGACAAUCCCCAAACCUCUCUCUUCCAACUUUCAAUGUUCAUAAAACUAUUUUUUUAGAGUUUAUCUACGACACACAAAAUUAGUUUACUCAAUACAUAUUUUAUCUUUGUAAUAUCACAACUCGAUGUAAAAGUAGAUUUUGAAAAUUAUGUUAACAAAAUUCGAAUCAAAGCUUAACUAAACAAGUGGUUGAAAUGAUUAUGAACUAAUGAGAGUAAUUAAGAUUAUACAGCUGAUUGUGAUUAAAACAGAUAUUGCAAUUCAUUUAUUCAAAUAACGACAAACAGAUACAUUGGCUUCAAUUCUUCCGAUCGGAGCUAAAAGAUGAGGAGGACUAACACGGAUUCGCGCGAUUUCGGACGUCACAAUUUUCAGGGUUGGGGAUCUGCCUUUCUUCUCCAGUGCAGCUGUCGUACCGUGGCGGCCGCCCACAUUCUGCAACCGAUUGUCUGUUAGGGUCUAUAGUGCCUGGAGUUUGUAAAUUCUGAAAGUCCAGCAGCAUCCGGCUGGUCUCUGUCUCCAUUAAAAACUCCGAAUCCAAGCUCUCAUCGCCGACGAGGCAAUUCUCGGACCCGUAGCACCACUCCGAUGUUGUCUCAUUGACGGUUGUGUUGCAACGGGUUGGGUUGAACAGUAGAGUCAGAAUGAGGAUUGCCAUGGUUGGUAUUGAAAAUGUUGUAGCCAUGGUGUUUGAGGAGAGUCCCGUGUGUGAACAAUAAUUUAGAAAGAGGGAAGAGUUGGGUGUGGAUCUAUUUGUUUACUUUUGGAAGGUAGAGGAAUUGCAAAAGAACAAGAAAGAUAGAUCACUAAUUUUUUCUCCUAAUUGUGUGGUCAAUAAACACUUCUUACUUUUUUUUCUUUUCUUUUUAUUUAUUUAUUUAUUUAUUUUGUUAUGUAAUUAUACAAAUUAUAGUAGAGUACAGUAGUAAAGAUAAAUGCACCCUAUUAUUCACUAAAAUACUAUAGUAAAGGUCAAAUAACACUUAUAGUCUCUAGACUUUCUUAGAAACAACAUUUUGUUCAUGAACUUUUUGUUUUGUAAUGAUUUAGUUUAUAUUUUCUUUUUGUUUUGUAAUAACUUACUCAACUUAACUUAAUUUUAUUGUUUACCAAUUUAGUCUCUUCAGUCAAAAAAUUAUAAACCAUUUAAUCUGAACCAUAGAAAUUAGUGUUAAUAUUUAAUGAAUUAAAUAAACUAAUAAACGAAUUAAGGCUCAUUAUACUUUUAUAAAUGACAACAUAUAUCAUAAAAUAGGAAGAAGCUGGUUAAAUUCCCCCACCCCCAAUGAUAUAAAGAAACAGAAGAAACCGAACGAUGAUUCCUUGCAAAUAGUAGCGGUUCUAGAAGUCAUUAAAAGGGUUGAUCUGACAUACGACCCCUUUGGCUAGUUGAUGCAGAAGGCAUACUUAUCAUGGAGGGGAAAUUCAAAGAUGAAGCAUGAGGAGUGAGAUGUUUUCUACUUCUUUUGGAAAAAGGAUUUCUUUCAGACACUUGAGAAGAACACUACUUGGGAAUCCGAAUAUGUAAGUUUGGGGUUAGGACUUAAAUUUUGUAUUUAAACCAUUACAUUACUAAUGUUUGGAAUUUUUGUAGACUAUGGAUCUACUUAUGUUCCACGCUCAACAUAAGAUGCACUCGAGAGAAACUUUAUGC
RNAcentral lists this long non-coding RNA (2290 nucleotides) under Cucumis sativus (cucumber). Its description in RNAcentral is "long non-coding RNA (CSAT_LNC001460)". The record is from RNAcentral. Lineage: Eukaryota; Viridiplantae; Streptophyta; Magnoliopsida; Cucurbitales; Cucurbitaceae.